Mastomys coucha (southern multimammate mouse) is the source of this 829-nucleotide long non-coding RNA. RefSeq lists it as uncharacterized. The record is from RefSeq and is a predicted model, not a curated record. The transcript has 3 exons. NCBI's taxonomy places the organism in Eukaryota, Metazoa, Chordata, Mammalia, Rodentia, Muridae.
GCGGGGGGGUGUGCUGGGAUUUCGCGGAGCCGUUGUGCGGAGCUGUGGCGCUCCGCGGUAGCGGGAGCGGUCGACUUGUCGCUUCUCCGCAGCUCGGCCCCCGCAGCGGGGACUCGACUCCCGCCUGGACGCCGCAGGGCUCUCCUCCGGGCGGCUGCCCUGGCCCACUCAUGUUCACCAGAUUUCCAAACACUUUACCGACGUGGUCGGGCAUAAUCUUGGGUUGGUGAACCCGACCGCCUUCAGUUUUCUUUGAGAGUUGAGGGCAGGACUCUCGCGGGAGUCGUUAUUUCAAAUGGAAACCUGAGUUCCAUUUCAGAUCCUUGGUGUCCUAUUCCCAUUCACUUCACACAAACCACUGCCCUUUGGCUCAGCAACCUUCUCUUGAUGGCUGUCACAAGCCUUCCUUUCUGUGUUUUCCCUUCCGAUCCUUCUUUUUAGACGUGUGUGUGUGUUCUCUAGUCCAGCUGACCUCAAACUCAUUACAUAACCAAGAAUGUCCAGAUUGUGCAGGGCAGAGGAUCAAACUCUGGGAAAACAACAGAUUUGCGCUUUCAAAGUGAUGGUUUCUCCAAUCCUCAUGAUCACCCCAAUCAACAGUAUUGUGCAACACAUCUGAGAGAACAUCACGUGGAAGAAAACUGCAGCCCAAAGAAGUUGAUCACUUUGUUUGAAAUCAUUAUGUCUGUAGUGAAUUAAGCUUGGGCCAAACUGUUUUCAGAAAGAGAAUGUAAAGAUGAAUAGGGAAUUACUUCUCAACUGUUACUUUUUAUAUUUAUUUUACAAACCAAUUGGAAAAGCAAGUACUCAGAAUGUAUAUCCUUUCUAG